GACGAACGCUGGCGGCGUGCUUAACACAUGCAAGUCGAGCGGUAAGGCCUCUUCGGGGGUACACGAGCGGCGAACGGGUGAGUAACACGUGGGUGACCUGCCCUCAGCUCUGGGAUAAGCCUGGGAAACUGGGUCUAAUACCGGAUAUGACCUUUCCUCGCAUGGGGUUUGGUGGAAAGUUUUUUCGGCUGGGGAUGGGCCCGCGGCCUAUCAGCUUGUUGGUGGGGUGAUGGCCUACCAAGGCGACGACGGGUAGCCGGCCUGAGAGGGCGACCGGCCACACUGGGACUGAGACACGGCCCAGACUCCUACGGGAGGCAGCAGUGGGGAAUAUUGCGCAAUGGGCGGAAGCCUGACGCAGCGACGCCGCGUGGGGGAUGACGGCCUUCGGGUUGUAAACCUCUUUCGACCCCGACGAAUUUGGACGGUAGGGGUAGAAGAAGCACCGGCUAACUACGUG
RNAcentral lists this ribosomal RNA (460 nucleotides) under uncultured bacterium. RNAcentral's name for it is "partial 16S ribosomal RNA". It matches the Rfam family "Bacterial small subunit ribosomal RNA", at positions 28 to 507 of the family's 1533-position model. The record is from RNAcentral.